GCCCUCCAGAGAAGAGGAUGGCCAAAUUGUGGGCUUUGUCAACUUUGUAGGGAGCCGGAGACUUUCCCUCACAUUAUAUCCGGGUGCCAUCUCUCCAUUCGCGUUUGGAAGAUGGUUCGAGAUUGGAUUGACCUAAAAUUCUUGAAUGUUGAUCACUGGGUAAACUUCAACUCGAUCUCAGAGUGGUGGCUUGCGGUGACUCAUCCAUCAGGCAACCGGAGUAAAUCGAUGGCCACAUUUAUCAUGCUUGUCGCUUGGAAGCUAUGGAAUGAAAGAAGUGUGCGUCUUCCCAAGCCACUCUUUAAUGCGGUCAAUCAUUUUUGCUAA
RNAcentral lists this ribosomal RNA (327 nucleotides) under Triticum aestivum (bread wheat). RNAcentral describes it as "partial small subunit ribosomal RNA". Lineage: Eukaryota; Viridiplantae; Streptophyta; Magnoliopsida; Poales; Poaceae. The record is from RNAcentral.